Molecule: long non-coding RNA, 567 nt
Filed under: Sorghum bicolor (sorghum)
Lineage: Eukaryota; Viridiplantae; Streptophyta; Magnoliopsida; Poales; Poaceae
Description: long non-coding RNA (SBIC_LNC006710)
Source: RNAcentral
GCUACCCAAAAACAUAGAUUAUUUCUAAACAAGUUUUAUCAUCUUUAUUAAGCAAUGUUGUGGACCUAUCAUAUCACAAGGAUCAUUUACAUGAAUUAAACCAUAACCAGGGAGCAUAUCAUGCUAAGUAACCAUGGUUGUCAAACAAUCCAAAAUAUCACCCAAACCCUAAAGGGAUUAAUUAUUUCUAUUUCUUUUAUAAGCAUUUUAAAUAGCUUUAUCAAGAAACAGAGCAUACUUGAUCAAACAGAGCUGAAAUUAAUCAUGAAGCUAAAUAACAUUAACACAAGCUCACAUAUUAAAUUUCAUGAUUUUUGGAUAUACCCAUAAUUUACUAAAAAUCAUGGAAGAUUUAUUUAUUAUUAAACAGGGACAAUUUUCAUAUAUAUGCAAACUGCCAGAAAAUGGAAUCUAAUAUUUUUCAUGUGUUCUACUCAUCUUAUGGAAUCUAUACAAAAAUUUUCACAAUUUUUGAAUCAGCACAUGAUUUAAUACAUAAAAUCAAACAUCAAUCACUUUUGAACAAAAAGGAAAAAGAAAAAGAAAACAGCGCAGUGAAAAGGCCUG